AAAAGCAAAAUAUCACUCCUUCAAAAAUAAAUUAUAUGAAAAACAUUUCGAUGUUACUAUGGUGCUGCACAGAUUACGCACUUCUGGUGAUUAGGAAGGGCAUCCACUUUUAAAAUGUAGAAUGUUUAAUGAAGUUAGUUGGGUUUUAUAUUAUUGUUUAUACUGUAAAUGUAUUUCUCUAGAGUUGUAAACUAGCUAAAUGCUAUAUUCUCCUUCUGCAGAACAACAGAUUUUCUAAAUGUCCACCAUGUUUCACUGUGUUGUCUCAGAUAAAUAACCAAAUGUUACUGUUGCUGGUUUCCUUCAGUGCCUGAAUGUGUCCUUAAAGUAUUGAUGUGUGUGUUUGCAGAAAUGUGGCGUGCAUAGCAAUGAGUUGGGGAAAGUUCUGCGUUACCUGGGCCUGAAGAAACAACGUUUGGCCAAAAUACUGCCGCUGGUGGAGUUCAUCACCUGGUCUCUGCUCAAACAGGACAGCACGGUGAGAAAAGGCCAAUAGCCACUGCAGGAAAUGACCAAAAGAGUGGGAAAAACAGAACGUAAAACACUGAGUCUGGAUCAAGCAUUUUUGGCAUUAGAUAAAUAUGGUUUGAUUUAAGAAUAUUUGCCUAGAGUCUGUCUGUUUUUACAAUGAACAGCAUGUGAGUUCAAAGUAUAAUCUGUUUUAUAUUUGUUAGGUGUGAAUAAUCAAACUGAAAUCACAGCUCUGACCUGAAUUGGCAAUUGGCUCUGAGUUAUCAAUAAUAUCAGCAGGUUACGAAAUACUUAUAUGAACCCUGUUCUAUGAUUUAGUUUAUAUGACGCUGAUCCACAUCGACUCCGAUAAGCUCCAAUUAUCAGAGAGAAGAUAAACUGUCAUCCCAUUUACAGACCAGGUGUGGUUUCCAUAAACAAAGUUCAUCCAGGAAGGACACCCUCUUACUGAAGGAAUAGGAUAAUAUCAUAUAAAUGCUGCUCCUGUGAAACCCAGUCUCAUGUUUUCUGUCUUUUUCUUUGUUUCCAGAAGCUGAUUCCACAGUUGUGGUUACUGGCAAAACAAAAGACCUGGAAAGCAGGAAUUCCACGAUACAUCCCCAGCUCAGUCUGGAGUUGGAUCUGCAGCGCAGC
RNAcentral lists this long non-coding RNA (1104 nucleotides) under Sphaeramia orbicularis (orbiculate cardinalfish). RNAcentral's name for it is "lncRNA (ENSSORG00005025801.1)". The record is from RNAcentral. Lineage: Eukaryota; Metazoa; Chordata; Actinopteri; Kurtiformes; Apogonidae.